Molecule: ribosomal RNA, 536 nt
Filed under: Trigonopterus sp. 138 AR-2022a
Lineage: Eukaryota; Metazoa; Arthropoda; Insecta; Coleoptera; Curculionidae
Description: partial large subunit ribosomal RNA
Rfam family: Bacterial large subunit ribosomal RNA
Source: RNAcentral
GGCCUGUUGAGUAUAAUUUAAGGUCUAACCUGCCCACUGAGGAAUUAAAUGGCCGCGGUAUUUUGACCGUGCAAAGGUAGCAUAAUCAUUAGUUUUUUAAUUGAAAGCUUGGAUGAAAGGUUUGAUGAGGAAAGUUCUGUCUCUAUAAAAUUUUAUUAGAAUUUUAUUUUUAAGUUAAAAAGCUUAAAUUUCAAUAGAAGACGAGAAGACCCUAUAGAGUUUUAUAUUUAAAUGAAACAAUUAAAUUUAAGGUAUUAAAAAUUUUGGUUUUAUUUAUGUAUUUUGUUGGGGUGACAGAAAAAUUGAUUAAACUUUUUUUGAUAAAAACAUUGAUGUAUGAAUAAAUGAUCCUAAAAUUUGGACUAAAAGAUUAAAUUACCUUAGGGAUAACAGCGUAAUUUUUUUUAGAGUUCUUAUCGAAAGAAAAGAUUGCGACCUCGAUGUUGGAUUAAAAUUAAUUAUUGGUGUAGAGGCUAAUAUAUUGGGUCUGUUCGACCUUUGAAAUUUUACAUGAUCUGAGUUUAGACCGGCGUGAG